UCAAAUCUGGAGAGCGCUGUGCGCGGCCAAUCGCCUCGUAAGUACAGCCGCCGAAGAGGCAAGCAACGCAAUCCGUUGUGAAUCUUUCAGGCAAAUGGACAGAGAGGGGCUA
Molecule: non-coding RNA, 112 nt
Organism: Limnobacter sp. MED105
Lineage: Bacteria; Pseudomonadati; Pseudomonadota; Betaproteobacteria; Burkholderiales; Burkholderiaceae
Source: Rfam